CUGUCGGCCCGUUAUCGUUCGCUGCACCACCGGCUUCUCGGAUCAGGCAGUCGGCGGUAGAUUAAUCGAAAGCCGUCUAAGCGUUUCGAGCGCUCGAAUCGACGUGCUGUUUGCCGAGUGCAGCAAAGUAACCGUCACCGGGCGUCGAAAGCGGCGUAAUGAUAGCGCUCCGGACAGGCGCACGCAGAGCCAUGGUAAGUGGUGGCCUCCGUUUUGAGUUUCUUCUCGCAUGCCUGAUAGCUUCCCACCCGCAGGCAACUGCCGCGAGUGACGGCUGGAAGACGGCUGCUUCCAUCUACGAUUUCGACGCCGUUGACAUUGACGGAAACCAAGUGUCCUUGUCCAAAUACAGGGGCCAUGUAGCUCUGGUCGUGAACGUGGCCUCCAAGUGAGGCAUGACCAACAAAAACUAUCAGCAGCUCCAAGAGCUGCAUGAGAAGUUUGCAGAAUCCAAGGGUCUGCGCAUCCUCGCAUUUCCCUGCAACCAGUUCGGGGGUCAGGAGCCCGGCACGGAGGCAGAGAUCAAGGAGUUUGCGAAGAAGUUCAACGUCCAGUUCGACAUGUUCAGCAAGGUGAACGUCAACGGGGACCAGGCCCAUCCGCUCUGGAAGUACCUCAAGCACAAGCAGUCUGGCUUCUUGAUGGAUGCCAUCAAGUGGAACUUCUCAAAGUUUCUGAUCGACAAGGACGGUCAGCCAGUGAAGCGGUACGCUCCCACUACAGAGCCCCUGGCCAUCGAGCCAGACCUCCUGAAAUACUUCUAAGUGCCCGACAGUCUGUUCUCUUGGGCGCGGCUGCGAAGAGUGGCACCCCUUGACGGAGGACCGUAUGACGGCCAGGCUACAAAUCGCGCCAGCGACCAGCCCGUCCUGAGGAUCACCCCCCGUCCCGAGCCGAGGGGAGCCAGUCUUCGCUGCAGUCUCCGAGAGUCCGGCCGUCGACCGAGAAGUCACCCAUUCCUAGUUCUUGCAAUAAACCUGUUUUAGUUCA
Molecule: RNA transcript, 990 nt
Organism: Ixodes scapularis (black-legged tick)
Lineage: Eukaryota; Metazoa; Arthropoda; Arachnida; Ixodida; Ixodidae
Gene name: phospholipid hydroperoxide glutathione peroxidase-like
Exons: 6
Source: RefSeq, a predicted model, not a curated record